GAUGAAGAACGUAGCGAAAUGCGAUAAGUAAUGUGAAUUGCAGAAUUCAGUGAAUCAUCGAAUCUUUGAACGCACCUUGCGCCCUUUGGCUAUUCCGAAGGGCAUGCCUGUUUGAGUAUCAUGAACACCUCAACUCUCGUGGCUUGCCAUGAUGAGCUUGGACUUUGGGGGUCUUGCUGGCCUACGAGCCAGCUCCUCUCAAAUGUAUUAGCUUGCCGGUGUUUGGUGGCAUCACAGGUGUGAUAACUAUCUACGCUUGUGGUUUUCCACUAGGUAACCUUCAGCAAUGGAGGUUCACCGGAGCUCACAAAUGUCUCUCCUUGCCAAGGACAGAUUUUGACCAUUUGAUCUCAAAUCAGGUAGGACUACCCGCUGAACUUAAGCAUAUCAAUAAGCGGAGGA
This 402-nucleotide unclassified non-coding RNA is filed under the name soil metagenome. RNAcentral's name for it is "partial contains 5.8S ribosomal RNA, internal transcribed spacer 2, and large subunit ribosomal RNA". The stretch from base 1 to 121 matches the Rfam family "5.8S ribosomal RNA", at positions 35 to 154 of the family's 154-position model. The record is from RNAcentral.